UAGGGAAUCUUCCGCAAUGGACGCAAGUCUGACGGAGCAACGCCGCGUGAGUGAAGAAGGAUUUCGGUUCGUAAAACUCUGUUGUUAGAGAAGAACAGCGCAUAGAGUAACUGUUAUGCGUGUGACGGUAUCUAACCAGAAAGCCACGGCUAACUACGUGCCAGCAGCCGCGGUAAUACGUAGGUGGCAAGCGUUGUCCGGAUUUAUUGGGCGUAAAGCGAGCGCAGGCGGUCAAUUAAGUCUGAUGUGAAAGCCCCCGGCUCAACCGGGGAGGGUCAGUGGAAACUGGUUGACUUGAGUGCAGAAGAGGAGAGUGGAAUUCCAUGUGUAGCGGUGAAAUGCGUAGAUAUAUGGAGGAACACCAGUGGCGAAGGCGACUCUCUGGUCUGUAACUGACGCUGAGGCUCGAAAGCGUGGGUAGCAAGCAGG
This 429-nucleotide ribosomal RNA is filed under the name Bacteroidota bacterium. RNAcentral's name for it is "Bacteroidetes bacterium partial 16S ribosomal RNA". It matches the Rfam family "Bacterial small subunit ribosomal RNA", at positions 355 to 776 of the family's 1533-position model. Lineage: Bacteria; Pseudomonadati; Bacteroidota. The record is from RNAcentral.